GCGCAUGGUAGGAUAUUGGUGUUCUCUCUUUCCAUGGAACAUCUUAACUCAGUCCAUGCAAUAUAAUCCUAAGGAGUUAUCAGGGCAUCCAGUCUUGAAGUGCAGGCUGAGAUGUAGUAUAUCACUCCUACAUAU
Hyla sarda is the source of this 135-nucleotide small nucleolar RNA. RefSeq annotates it as small nucleolar RNA U109. The record is from RefSeq and is a predicted model, not a curated record. The transcript has a single exon. NCBI's taxonomy places the organism in Eukaryota, Metazoa, Chordata, Amphibia, Anura, Hylidae.